This 253-nucleotide ribosomal RNA is filed under the name uncultured bacterium. RNAcentral's name for it is "partial 16S ribosomal RNA". It matches the Rfam family "Archaeal small subunit ribosomal RNA", at positions 474 to 727 of the family's 1478-position model. The record is from RNAcentral.
UACUAGCACCCCGAGUGGUCGGGACGUUUAUUGGGCCUAAAGCAUCCGUAGCCGGUUCUACAAGUCUUCCGUUAAAUCCAACUGCUUAACAGGUGGGCUGCGGAAGAUACUAUAGAGCUAGGAGGCGGGAGAGGCAAGCGGUACUCGAUGGGUAGGGGUAAAAUCCGUUGAUCCAUUGAAGACCACCAGUGGCGAAGGCGCCUUGCCAGAACGCGCUCGACGGUGAGGGAUGAAAGCUGGGGGAGCAAACCGG